AGAAUCUUUCGCAAUGCCCGAAAGGGUGACGAAGCGACGCCGCGUGUGGGAAGAAGGCCUUCGGGUUGUAAACCACUGUCGGGAGUUACGAAAUGUAAGGAUGUUAAUAGCAUCCUUACUUGACUAAGGCUCCGGAGGAAGCCACGGCUAACUCUGUGCCAGCAGCCGCGGUAAUACAGAGGCGGCAAGCGUUGUUCGGAACUAUUGGGCGUAAAGAGCACGUAGGCGGCCCUGAAAGUCAGUUGUGAAAGCCUUCUGCUUAACGGAAGAACAGCAUCUGAUACUACAGGGCUUGAGUGCGGGAGGGGAGAGUGGAACUUCUGGUGGAGCGGUGAAAUGCGUAGAUAUCAGAAGGAACGCCGGCGGCGAAAGCGGCUCUCUGGCCCGUAACUGACGCUGAGUGUGCGAAAGCUAGGGGAUCAAACGGGAUUAGAUACCCCGGUAGUCCUAGCCGUAAACGAUGGGCACUAAGUAGAGGGGUUUUGAUUAUCUCUCUGCCGGAGCUAACGCAUUAAGUGCCCCGCCUGGGAAGUACGGCCGCAAGGCUAAAACUCAAAGGAAUUGACGGGGGCUCGCACAAGCGGUGGAGCAUGUGGCUUAAUUCGAUGCAACGCGAAGAACCUUACCGGGGUUUGACAUGGUAGAAGUAGGAACCAGAAAUGGUAACGAACGGUAUCCAGUCCGUAACUAUCACAGGUGUUGCAUGGCUG
RNAcentral lists this ribosomal RNA (710 nucleotides) under uncultured anaerobic ammonium-oxidizing bacterium. Its description in RNAcentral is "bacterial SSU rRNA". It matches the Rfam family "Bacterial small subunit ribosomal RNA", at positions 358 to 1051 of the family's 1533-position model. The record is from RNAcentral.